This 253-nucleotide ribosomal RNA is filed under the name uncultured bacterium. RNAcentral's name for it is "partial 16S ribosomal RNA". It matches the Rfam family "Bacterial small subunit ribosomal RNA", at positions 524 to 776 of the family's 1533-position model. The record is from RNAcentral.
UACGAGAGGCCCAAACGUUAUUCGGAUUUACUGGGCUUAAAGAGUUCGUAGGCGGCGCGGAAAGUAGGGUGUGAAAGCCCUCGGCUCAACCGAGGAAUUGCGCUCUAAACUACUGUGCUUGAGGGACCUAGAGGUGAGCGGAACUGAUGGUGGAGCGGUGAAAUGCGUUGAUAUCAUCAGGAACACCGGAGGCGAAGGCGGCUCACUGGGGGUCUUCUGACGCUGAGGAACGAAAGCCAGGGGAGCGAACGGG